CAUAAAGUGCGUCGUAGUCCGGAUUGGAGUCUGCAACUCGACUCCAUGAAGUCGGAAUCGCUAGUAAUCGUGGAUCAGAAUGCCACGGUGAAUACGUUCCCGGGCCUUGUACACACCGCCCGUCACACCAUGGGAGUGGGUUGCAAAAGAAGUAGGUAGCUUAACCUUCGGGAGGGCGCUUACCACUUUGUGAUUCAUGACUGGGGUGAAGUCGUAACAAGGUAACCGUAGGGGAACCUGCGGUUGGAUCACCUCCUUACCUGAAAGAA
RNAcentral lists this ribosomal RNA (269 nucleotides) under Salmonella enterica subsp. salamae. RNAcentral describes it as "partial 16S ribosomal RNA". It matches the Rfam family "Bacterial small subunit ribosomal RNA", at positions 1275 to 1533 of the family's 1533-position model. RNAcentral also lists the same sequence under 1 other name. The record is from RNAcentral. Lineage: Bacteria; Pseudomonadati; Pseudomonadota; Gammaproteobacteria; Enterobacterales; Enterobacteriaceae.